RNAcentral lists this ribosomal RNA (253 nucleotides) under uncultured bacterium. RNAcentral's name for it is "partial 16S ribosomal RNA". It matches the Rfam family "Bacterial small subunit ribosomal RNA", at positions 524 to 776 of the family's 1533-position model. The record is from RNAcentral.
UACAGAGGCCCCAAGCGUUGUUCGGAUUUACUGGGCGUAAAGGGUGCGCAGGCGGCGGGGCAAGUCAGGUGUGAAAGCCCUGUGCUUAACGCAGGGAUCGCAAAUGAUACUGCCUUGCUAGAGUCUCUUAUAGGAAACUGGAAUUCACGGAGUAGCAGUGAAAUGCGUGGAUAUCGUGAGGAACACCAAUGGCGAAAGCAAGUUUCUGGCGGAGUUCUGACGCUAAGGCACGAAGGCCAAGGUAGCAAACGGG